UACAGAGGUCCCAAGCGUUACUGAGAAUCACUGGGUUUAAAGGGUGCGUAGGUGGUCCGUUAAGUCAGUUGUGAAAUCCCCGGGCUCAACCCGGGAAAUGCUUCUGAUACUGGCGGACUUGAGGCCAGUAGGGGUCACUAGGACUGACGGUGGAGCGGUGAAAUGCGUAGAUAUCGUCAGGAAUGCCGGUGGUGAAGACGGGUGACUGGGCUGGUUCUGACACUGAGGCACGAAAGCGUGGGGAGCGAACGGG
This 253-nucleotide ribosomal RNA is filed under the name uncultured bacterium. Its description in RNAcentral is "partial 16S ribosomal RNA". It matches the Rfam family "Bacterial small subunit ribosomal RNA", at positions 524 to 776 of the family's 1533-position model. The record is from RNAcentral.